This 403-nucleotide ribosomal RNA is filed under the name uncultured bacterium. Its description in RNAcentral is "partial 16S ribosomal RNA". It matches the Rfam family "Bacterial small subunit ribosomal RNA", at positions 28 to 526 of the family's 1533-position model. The record is from RNAcentral.
GACGAACGCUGGCGGCGUGCCUAAUACAUGCAAGUCGAACGCAGUGGGGACGGGUGAGUAACACGUGGGUAACCUCCCAUCAGAGGGGAUAACACUUGGAAACAGGUGCUAAACCGAUACUGAUGGAUGAACCCGUGGUGAAUUAGCUAGUUGGUGAGGUAACGGCUCACCAAGGCCCAGAUGCAUAGGCGACCGGGGAGGGGGACCGUCCACACUGGGACUGAUACACGGCCCAGACUCCUACGGGAGGCAGCAGUAGGGAAUCGUCGGCAAUGGACGAAAGUCUGACCGAGCAACGCCGCGUGAGUGAGGAAGGUUUUCGGAUCGUAAAACUCUGUUGUUAGAGAAGCGGUAUCUAACCAGAAAGCCACGGCUAACUACGUGCCAGCAGCCGCGGUAAUUC